RNAcentral lists this ribosomal RNA (254 nucleotides) under uncultured bacterium. RNAcentral's name for it is "partial 16S ribosomal RNA". It matches the Rfam family "Bacterial small subunit ribosomal RNA", at positions 524 to 776 of the family's 1533-position model. The record is from RNAcentral.
UACGUAGGGAGCAAGCGUUGUUCGGAUUUACUGGGCGUAAAGGGCGCGUAGGCGGCGCUGUAAGUCACUUGUGAAAUCUCCGGGCUUAACUCGGAACGGUCAAGUGAUACUGCAGUGCUAGAGUGCAGAAAGGGCAAUCGGAAUUCUUGGUGUAGCGGUGAAAUGCGUAGAUAUCAAGAGGAACACCUGAGGCGAAGGCGGGUUGCUAGGCUGACACUGACGCUGACAGCGCGAAAGCCAGGGGAGCAAACGGG